GACGGGUGAGAAUCCCGUCCACCGAUUGACUAAGGUUUCCAGAGGAAGGCUCGUCCGCUCUGGGUUAGUCGGGUCCUAAGCUGAGGCCGACAGGCGUAGGCGAUGGAUAACAGGUUGAUAUUCCUGUACCACCUAUAAUCGUUUUAAUCGAUGGGGGGACGCAGUAGGAUAGGCGAAGCGUGCGAUUGGAUUGCACGUCUAAGCAGUAAGGCUGAGUAUUAGGCAAAUCCGGUACUCGUUAAGGCUGAGCUGUGAUGGGGAGAAGACAUUGUGUCUUCGAGUCGUUGAUUUCACACUGCCGAGAAAAGCCUCUAGAUAGAAAAUAGGUGCCCGUACCGCAAACCGACACAGGUAGUCAAGAUGAGAAUUCUAAGGUGAGCGAGCGAACUCUCGUUAAGGAACUCGGCAAAAUGACCCCGUAACUUCGGGAGAAGGGGUGCUCUUUAGGGUUAACGCCCAGAAGAGCCGCAGUGAAUAGGCCCAAGCGACUGUUUAUCAAAAACACAGGUCUCUGCUAAACCGUAAGGUGAUGUAUAGGGGCUGACGCCUGCCCGGUGCUGGAAGGUUAAGAGGAG
RNAcentral lists this ribosomal RNA (575 nucleotides) under Staphylococcus aureus. RNAcentral's name for it is "partial 23S ribosomal RNA". It matches the Rfam family "Bacterial large subunit ribosomal RNA", at positions 1316 to 1886 of the family's 2925-position model. The record is from RNAcentral. Lineage: Bacteria; Bacillati; Bacillota; Bacilli; Caryophanales; Staphylococcaceae.